AUGUCAACAUGAGCAAAUCUAGGACUUCAAGAUAGAGCCUCUCCUUUAAUAGAACAACUAACAUUUUUUCAUGACCACGCCAUACUCAUUUUAGUUAUAAUUACUAUCUUAGUAGGUUAUAUUAUAAUUAUACUAUUCUCAAACAUCUUCACCAACCGAUUCCUUCUUCAUGGACAAACUAUUGAAAUAAUUUGAACUAUUCUGCCCGCCAUUGUCCUUUUAUUCAUUGCAUUCCCCUCGCUCCGAUUACUUUAUCUCCUAGAUGAAAUUAAUGAACCAAUUAUUACUUUAAAAACAAUUGGCCACCAAUGAUACUGAAGCUAUGAAUACUCAGAUUUUAUUGAUUUAGAAUUUGACUCUUAUAUAAUCCCAACAAAUGAACUUGCUACCGAUGGAUUCCGUUUAUUAGAUGUAGAUAACCAUAUUGUACUCCCCAUAAACACUCAAAUCCGAAUUUUAGUUACAGCAGCUGAUGUAAUCCAUUCAUGAACCAUCCCAGCCCUAGGUAUCAAAGUUGAUGGUACACCUGGACGUCUAAAUCAAACAAAUUUUACUAUUAACCGCCCAGGAUUAUAUUAUGGCCAAUGCUCCGAAAUCUGCGGAGCCAACCACAGAUUCAUACCUAUUGUAAUUGAAAGUGUCCCCACCAACUAUUUCAUUAAGUGGUUACUU
Molecule: ribosomal RNA, 672 nt
Filed under: Mydas sp. MVD1526
Lineage: Eukaryota; Metazoa; Arthropoda; Insecta; Diptera; Mydidae
Description: partial 16S ribosomal RNA
Source: RNAcentral